AGAGUUUGAUCCUGGCUCAGGACGAACGCUGGCGGUGUGCUUCACACAUGCAAGUCGAACGGGGUAGCAAUACCCAGUGGCGGACGGGUGAGUAACACGUGGGAAUCUGCCUUGAGAUGGGGGAUAGCAGACCGAAAGGUCUAUUAAUACCGCAUAUGUGUAUGUCUCGACAGGGGCAUACAUGAAAGGAGCAAUCCGUCUUAAGAUGAGCCCGCGUCCGAUUAGCUAGUUGGUAGGGUAAUGGCCUACCAAGGCGACGAUCGGUAGGUGGUCUGAGAGGAUGAUCACCCACAAUGGGACUGAGACACGGCCCAUACUCCUACGGGAGGCAGCAGUGGGGAAUUUUGUGCAAUGGGCGAAAGCCUGACACAGCGACACCGCGUGAGCGAAGAAGCCCUUUGGGGUGUAAAGCUCUGUCAGCUGGAACGAAACAAAUGACGGUACCAGCAGAGGAAGCAUCGGCUAACUACGUGCCAGCAGCCGCGGUAAGACGUAGGAUGCGAGCGUUGUCCGGAUUUAUUGGGCGUAAAGAGUUCGUAGGUGGUUUGUUAAGUUCGAUGUUAAAGAUCGAGGCUCAACCUCGGGAGUGCAUUGAAUACUGGCAGACUUGAGUGCGGUAGAGGCUAGUGGAAUUCCCAGUGUAGCGGUGAAAUGCGUAGA
RNAcentral lists this ribosomal RNA (660 nucleotides) under uncultured bacterium. RNAcentral's name for it is "bacterial SSU rRNA". It matches the Rfam family "Bacterial small subunit ribosomal RNA", at positions 8 to 694 of the family's 1533-position model. The record is from RNAcentral.